This 624-nucleotide ribosomal RNA is filed under the name Triticum aestivum (bread wheat). RNAcentral's name for it is "partial small subunit ribosomal RNA". Lineage: Eukaryota; Viridiplantae; Streptophyta; Magnoliopsida; Poales; Poaceae. The record is from RNAcentral.
AUGUUGUUCUUGAAGAAGAAUCUGCGUGUUGGCACUGUACUGCCGCAAGGAACCAUGUUUGCACGAGGCGGUUCACCAAAGUCUGUCAAUUCUGUCUCUUCUCCGUUGGAGUCAAAGUACUUGUCAACCAUCCUUUCACAUUACAAGAUACCUCACAGCUCGAUAAAGGCCCAGCAGGUAGCUGACACCCUUCGUUCAUGCGGCAAACCGGCUGACAAGGAGGAGCCACACAUGUGCUUCUCAUCUCGCGAAGCAAUGGCCAGGUUUGCUACCAAGGCUUUGGGAGUCAGCGGCGCACGAGCAGCCAUUACAAGAAUUCAUGGGCAUGAGACCCCCAACACCAUGUAUGUUGUGGCACAGAUCGCCCAAGCCAGCAAUAAUGCGGUGCCAUGCCACCCUAUGGAUUUCCCCUAUGAGGUCUUUUAUUGCCAUCGGCCAAGAGAGGUGCAGUCUUUGACGGUGCAACUCAAGGGCUUGAAAGAUGGAACACCAGGCGUGACGGCAACAGCAAUGUGCCACAUGAACACAUCUGAUUGGGACGAGCAGUACUUUGAGCUGUUAGGCGGAGAGCGUGGUGAACCUAUUUGCCACUACAUGCCUACCAAUUACAUCAUGUUCUAUUAG